CGAAUGGUUUUCUUCAAGAAACCCUUUUUAUUUUUAUUUUUAUACUUUCUCAAAAUCAAAGCCAUUCCUUUUUGUUGUCAAAGCUUCAUCUGAUGACGUGACCGAAGCAUCCAAAGAAGCUUCAUCUAUUGCUCCUGGUGGAUCAACUGACAACGCUGGAGUCUUUAAUUUUGGAGAUAAAGUACUCGCCACCAGUGCUGUUUUUCGGACCGAAACUUGGAAGAACAAUCUACACAAUUCGCCAAAGAAUAGGCCCGUUACUCAUGACAAUGCACAAAAGAUAGGGUUAGUUUAUUUUGUAUGCAUUUUCGCAAUGUUACCCUGAUUCUGAACUUAACUCAUGGAUCCGUGAACCUUGGUUUCCAUUUUUUCACAAGAUAGAAACUAGUGGUAAGUUCACUGAUAAGGAUAUCUACAGAGCCGAGUAGAACUCUGGUGUAGUCAGUAACAAAAUCAGGGAAAUUCAAGAAUGCUAAGUACAAGGAAGUAUUAGAGAAAUUUAAGUCAGUUUUGGGAACGAAGCCAGAGCCUGAUGAAGCAGCAGUGGCAAGUUAUAAUGUUGCUUGUUGUUGCUCUAAGCCAAACCAGAAGCUUUAGGAUUUGAAGAUCAUAAAAGUUACAAAACUGUCGUAAGGAAGCAAGUAAAAUAUUGGAAACUAGCCUUCUUCACCAAGUGGAUAUUGAUGCUGAUGAAAUAGUCAUUUGGAUGAAGAUAAUUUAAUCGGUCAUGAUGGUACCGGAGAGGUCUAUACACUCUAUGCUUGAUUUUUUAAAUGAGGAACCAACCUUUUAGUUUUUGAGUAUAUGCCAAAUGGUAAUCUUUUUGAAGCUCUUCAUUGAAAUAUAAAAGAUGAGAAGGUUGCAUGGGAUUGGAAUCUGGUAUAAAUUGCAUUGGGAGGUGCAUAAAGGAUUUGGGAUUUGCACUAUGAUUGUUCUCCGCCUGUUAUUCACAGAGGGAUAUAAAAUCUAGCAACAUCUUGCUUGAUGAAGACUACGAGGCAAAAAUUGCUGAAUUAGGUGUUGCAAGGUUUGCUGGAAAAAAAAACUCAUAUGGGUUAUAGCUUUUUUGCUGGCACACAUGGUUAUAUUGCUCCAGAUUUAAUGCUGAUGGAAUGCUAGGUACAAGGAAGCAUUAGAGAAAUUUGAUUCUCUUUUGGGAACAAAGCCAGAACUUAAGAAGCAGCAUUCACAAGUUAUAAUGUUGCUUGUUGAUACUCUAAGCUAAACCAGAAGGUCUUUGAUGUAUUUAUAUUGUGACGGAGUGAUGGUGUGCCAAAAGGAUUGGUUAUGAAAAGGCUUCAAGGGCUAUUACAAUAGUGCAACGCAAAAGCAACACUUGAGAAACCCAAUAGCAAGCUAUUGUGGUGGACUCUCCCCCUCAAGAAAUAAAUUUAAUAUCGUGUGAACCAUUGGCCCACAUAUCAGAUAUUAAACUGAUAAGAACAGAUACUACACUUGAUCUUAGCCAAAAGGCCGAGAAAGAAUAUGGCAGGAGUAGGACACUAUUCAUUGCUGAUGAAAUGCUAAGUACGAGGAAGCAUUAGAGAAAUUUAAUUCUAUUUUGGGAACAAAGCCAGAUGUUGAAGAAGCAGCAUUCACCAGUUAUAAUGUUGCUUAUUGAUAUUCUAAACUAAGCCGGAAGGAAUGCUAAGUACGAGGAAGCAUUAGAGUAAUUUGAGUCUGUUUGGGGAACAAAAUCAGAGCCUGAUGAAGCAGCAGUGACAAGUUAUAAUUUUGCUUGUUGUUACUCUAAGCUAAACCAGAUUGCCAGAAGUAUCAAAACUAAUUCAGUAACAACUCUUGGGUGUAAGUCUUUCUUAAUAGGGCUCACGGAACAAAGAAAUCAGUUAGUGAUUGAACAUCAAGACAUUCACAUUUGAGAGCAAGUUCUGCCAUCGUUUAAAAAAUAUUGACUGCAAAAACUACAUUGUUUAUUAGUUUGAUGGCUUAUGAUAUUUCAUGUUCUAGUACCGUGCUUGACAAAGAUUUUAGUGUGGAAAGAUGUUUCUUUAAAUGCUACCUACCAAUUCUUCUCCUUUUUUCUUUAUGCUGAAUUGCUAGUUCAGUUCAAGUGAAAACCUUUUUUUUUUAUAUAUAAAAAUGAGAGCUGUUUGCUAUGGAAGAACAAUCAAAAUUACUUCAGCUUUAAUUAACCAAAGUGUGAAUUUUUUAUUAAACAUUAAUUAACUAUCUGUUUUUGAGCAGGUUUGUAUCCCUUAGUGUUGAGGGACUGUUAGAGUAGCAAAUUGAUAUAGCUGUCACUUGCUCUUUUUAUUCUUGUAAAGACAAGAUGGACAUGGUAUUUGUAUAUGAAAAUGUAAAUUUGCAUGGCCUUGUUUGAGACCAACAAAAACUUUAAUUUCGAAGCAUCUAAUUUGGUAUCUUCCUGAUAAUCCUAACGUCUGAUGAAGCAGAGCAGACAAUCAAAAUUACUUCAGCUUUAAUUAACCAAAGUGUGAAUUUUUUAUUAAACAUUAAUUAACUAUCUGUUUUUGAGCAGGUUUGUAUCCCUUAGUGUUGAGGGACUGUUAGAGUAGCAAAUUGAUAUAGCUGUCACUUGCUCUUUUUAUUCUUGUAAAGACAAGAUGGACAUGGUAUUUGUAUAUGAAAAUGUAAAUUUGCAUGGCCUUGUUUGAGACCAACAAAAACUUUAAUUUCGAAGCAUCUAAUUUGGUAUCUUCCUGAUAAUCCUAACGUCUGAUGAAGCAGAGCAGCAGCAAGUUAUAAUGUUGCUUGUUGUUACUCUAAGCAAGCUUGUUCAUUUUACAAAUUAUUUUCAAUUCAUUAGUCUAUAUAUGUUUCAUUGCUAUAUAAACAUUCACUCUGUUGUUUAACCAAACGAUGUGGGACUUGUGAAGCAACACAAUAGCUGCCCACUUUCACAUGCAAUCCCAGUGAAGCAACACAAUAGCUGCCCACUUCUGAAGUACUGAAAAGAUUAUUUUUUGUUAAUAAUAGGAAUGCAUGUGGAUGGCAAAACAUAAACAUGACCAUUUUCCUGUACGUAAACAUGAAUUAAUAUAACCAUAACCAUUAUCCUGUACAUAAACACGAAUUAAUAUGUUAACAAAACAUGAAUUAAUAUGUCCCAAAGCAAGUGGAUGGCAAUGUUCAGUGAUAUGCAAGAGAGACAAUUGAUACGUUUGCAGUAAUACAUUUGCAGUGAUUAGUUUUGUGCAACGUCAUAGUCAAAACUCAGAAAGUUACUGUGAUUUAUUUUCUCCAAGGGAGGAACCAUCUAGGAGUGUCAUAGUCAAAACUUAGAAAGAGGCAAAGAAAAUGAUCAACCAUUUUUGAAAUAACCAGGAGUGUCAUAGUCAACCCAGGAGUGUCAUAACCAUCUAGGAAUGUCUAUGCAAUUUUGUAAUUUGCAGGAGGAGUUUUCUAAGCCAUUCUUGAAACCACCACAUUUGAAUCAACCUCUAUCUACCCUUCUUCUCUUUGAAUCUACCAUGGCUUUUGGGCGGAUUCUUAUGAGUGAAAAUGAUGGGAAUUACAAAGGUCCACUCA
This is a long non-coding RNA of Vicia villosa (hairy vetch), 3510 nucleotides long. RefSeq lists it as uncharacterized. The transcript has 10 exons. NCBI's taxonomy places the organism in Eukaryota, Viridiplantae, Streptophyta, Magnoliopsida, Fabales, Fabaceae. The record is from RefSeq and is a predicted model, not a curated record.